GCGAAGGCAACUUUCCGAGUGAGCUGAAGGCAUUGAUAAACAAGAGGUUUGCGUUUAAGAUAGCCAUAGCUUCGUUUAAUAUAAAAUAGAAAUCAGAUGGCUACUCUGUUUCCAAGUUGACUGAAAAUCCUUCCAUCAUCAAAGAUCUUGAUACUCAUUUUGAUGUUUACCAGGCUGCUGAUGAAGAACCUUUAGAUCCUGUUGCUUCUGAUCCAAAUCCAAUUGUUAACGUUAACAUCCGGGAUUCUGUUUCCCGUGUCGUUGAUGAAGACACUCCCAUGUCCAGUUUGAACAACAGCAUCUUUACUACACCCUCUGGAGCUCAUAAUAGUUGUUCUUCAAAGAUGCUGGACAAUGAGCUGAAGCGUAAUUUGGAGACGGUUUAUGAUGUGGAUCUUUGUUCUUCUCAGUCUUCAACUAAACCGCGUCAGGGUGAUUGUGAGAACAAUGAAGGUUUGAAGAUGAAAGCAAACCUGGAAAAUUAGUAUUAACAUUUAAUAGUCAUUUCAGUUUUUUUCGAACAAUUUGAGAUGUUUUCUUUUGGUUAAUUUUUUCCGGAACAUUUAUUUUAGUACUUGAUGUUUGGUUUCAUAUGGAUAUUUCGUUUAUUA
Molecule: long non-coding RNA, 611 nt
Organism: Helianthus annuus (common sunflower)
Lineage: Eukaryota; Viridiplantae; Streptophyta; Magnoliopsida; Asterales; Asteraceae
Exons: 3
Source: RefSeq, a predicted model, not a curated record